Molecule: ribosomal RNA, 497 nt
Filed under: uncultured bacterium
Lineage: Bacteria
Description: partial 16S ribosomal RNA
Rfam family: Bacterial small subunit ribosomal RNA
Source: RNAcentral
GAUGAACGCUGGCGGCGUGCCUAAUACAUGCAAGUCGAGCGAACGGACGAGAAGCUUGCUGCGCUGAUGUUAGCGGCGGAGGGGUGAGUAACACGUGGAUAACCUACCUAUAAGACUGGUAUAACUUCGGAAAACCGUAGCUAAUACCGGAUAAUAUUUUGAACCGCAUGGGGCAAAAGUGAAAGACGGUCGUGCUGUCACGUAUAGAUGGAUCCGCGCUGCAUUAGCUAGUUGGUCAGGUAACGGCUUACCAAGGCAACGAUGCAUAGCCGAACUGAGAGGGUGAUAGGCGACCCUAGAAGUGAGACAGCGUCCAGAGUACUAAGGGACGGAGCAGUAGGGAACCUUACGCAAUGGGCGAAAGCAUGACGGAGCAACGGCGAGUGAGUGAUGACGGUCUCCGGAUCGUAAAACUCUGUUAUUAGGGAAGAACCUCUUUGUACGUAACUGUGCCGAUCUUGACGGUACCUAAUAAGAAAGCAACGGCUAACUACGUG